ACCUGGAUCAUCCGGCUCGGCGGAAGC
RNAcentral lists this small RNA (27 nucleotides) under Bombyx mori (domestic silkworm). RNAcentral's name for it is "ovarian small RNA-2494". The record is from RNAcentral. Lineage: Eukaryota; Metazoa; Arthropoda; Insecta; Lepidoptera; Bombycidae.